AAAGAGCUAAAAUUUUCUACCUAAGCACUAAGACUUUAAAGUUAAAACUUAAAGAACAUGGCGACAGCAUAUAUUCAGGGGAACUUACCAUAUAAAUGAUAACCCACAAGGAACCGUGCUAAACUUCAUAGUAUGUAUACCGCCGUCAAGAGCUUAAUUGAGUUAAGUUCAAAAAGAUUCAACCAUAGGACAGGUCAUGGUGCAGCCAAUAGUUUAGGUUUGGCGAGUUACAUUAUUAAGUUUUUUCAGACUGUAAAAAAAAAUUACCAGAUAAGAGGGACUUGAAAGUAAAUAAUAAAAGAAUUACUUAUUGAAUUUUAUUUUUGCUGUGC
RNAcentral lists this ribosomal RNA (332 nucleotides) under Siphonaria sp. UF 310519. RNAcentral's name for it is "partial 12S ribosomal RNA". The record is from RNAcentral. Lineage: Eukaryota; Metazoa; Mollusca; Gastropoda; Siphonariida; Siphonariidae.